This is a long non-coding RNA of Hemicordylus capensis (graceful crag lizard), 340 nucleotides long. RefSeq lists it as uncharacterized. The record is from RefSeq and is a predicted model, not a curated record. Lineage: Eukaryota; Metazoa; Chordata; Lepidosauria; Squamata; Cordylidae. The transcript has 3 exons.
CAGCUGUUAAGGCGCUGGAUGUUAGUCUGCUAUCACUGGAGAGAAUAGCUGCACCAGUUGUCUUCUUUGGACUUUUACUGUCAUCAUGGCAGGAACGCAAGAACUAGGGCUUGGGAGAUUUGUAUUCAGAGACACGGAAGAGCUCUUCAAGCUGUGUCCCAGUGCCUGGAACUGGUAGCAAAGCCCCGAGACAUAUCAAGACAUCAUUCAAAUUGCACAAAGGUCUGUUUGACAAGUUCAUCCAGCCAGGUUUGCUGGAUUGGAAAACAUAAGUAGUCAACCACAUUAAAGACCGCUUGGCAGCCCAGAAUAUAUCAUUUAUCAGGAAGCAGACAGUCAG